Molecule: long non-coding RNA, 1036 nt
Organism: Equus caballus (horse)
Lineage: Eukaryota; Metazoa; Chordata; Mammalia; Perissodactyla; Equidae
Source: RefSeq, a predicted model, not a curated record
GGCGGGUUCGCCACAAAGCACCAACGGUUCCCCACGGGGCUACCGUUGUCCCCCUGGUACCCUGUGUCCCCAUCUCCAACUGCUGCUCUGUGACCCCCACGUCCCCUUUAGCCUGGGGCAACCCCCACCCCAGCCAGGCCAGCCUGAGGACUAGGAGCUGGGGACACGGGGUCCAGCCCUUUGGCCCUCUUCAUCUCCUGCUUUAAUCCCAGCACACCCUCCCGAGGGCGGAGUCACUGACCCCAUUCUCAGUGGAGGAAACUGAGGCUGGAGAACUCACCACAUGAGCUGGCCUGUCCCAGGGCCGGGGCAUGGCCCAGCUGGGGUCGCAACCUAGGUCAAUCUGACCCCAAAGGCUGUGCUUACACAGGAGCCCGAGGAGGGGCCUCUGAGCCCAGCCUUGGAGGUUCACACGGGUGAUGCAGCGUCACUCAGCCUCUGGAUGGAGAGCAGCAGCGAGGAGCUGUGCUCACAGACCCUGAGACACAGCGCCCGUGUGUGCCCAAGGCUGCCACAGCGUGGUGGAGGCUGGGGAGGAGGAGGUGCUGCUGGAGGCCAAGCUGAUGCCAGAGAUCAUCGGGGACCAUGCGGAGGGGGCUCCAGCACAAAGCUCAUGUUGAUCUCCUCCAUUUUGGGGCUGGAGCAGCUGGCCGAGAGCAUGCUGAGCAGAUUGGCUAAGUGAGAGGAAAUGGAUAAAUUCUGAGAAGCACACAAAGUACCAACACUGACUCAAGAAGAAAUGGAGAAUCUGAGCAGACCUACGAUAAGAGAAUAGGCUGAAGCAACGUAAGCACUUCCCAACAAAGAAAAGCCCAGGACCAAAUGGCUUCACUGGCCACUCGUCCCAAACAUUUAAAGAAGAGAUAACACAAAUCCUUCCCAAACUCUUCAAAAAGUGCCAGCGGAGGGAACACGUCCUACCUCAUUCUAUGAUGCCAGCAUUACCCUGAUUCCAAAGACCUUAAAGAAAAGACAACUGCAGACCAAAAUCCUUUAUGAAUAAAGAUGCAAAAAUCCUCAACAAGAUACUAGCAAA